Molecule: transfer RNA, 75 nt
Filed under: Sphingomonas sp.
Lineage: Bacteria; Pseudomonadati; Pseudomonadota; Alphaproteobacteria; Sphingomonadales; Sphingomonadaceae
Also listed under: 87 other names
Description: tRNA-Asn
Rfam family: tRNA
About the family: Transfer RNA (tRNA) molecules are approximately 80 nucleotides in length. Their secondary structure includes four short double-helical elements and three loops (D, anti-codon, and T loops).
Source: RNAcentral
UCCGGCGUGGCGCAGCGGUAGCGCAGCGGACUGUUAAUCCGUUGGUCGUAGGUUCGAAUCCUACCGCCGGAGCCA